Molecule: long non-coding RNA, 212 nt
Filed under: Mytilus galloprovincialis (Mediterranean mussel)
Lineage: Eukaryota; Metazoa; Mollusca; Bivalvia; Mytilida; Mytilidae
Source: RNAcentral
UAUUUCGAAACAUGUUAUAUGCUGUGUUUCUGGUUCUAAACUUAACCGUAAAAACAUGAACGGCAUUAAAUUGUCCACCUUUCAAUCGUGUCGAGUUCAUGCUGUCAAUUUGAUAUAUAUAAUAUUUACAUGAUAGUAUUUUCCUUUCAAACACAGACAUCGAAUUCUAAAUUAUUUAAUUACGUUUACCAUGCGGUAAUUCCUACACUAUC